ACUGCGCGCUGGAGCCUGAGGAGAACAUGCUGCGCGCGGCGCGCUCCUCUUGGGACUUUCAUCAAACACCUUGCGAUGCGAGGGUCAAUUUCUUCCACUCUAAUGGCCGAUUCCAGGGUUGAAGGGGUCACUUGACCACCCUUGCUCCUCUGUGGAUCCGUCCCUUCGAGCACUCAAGGCGGAUACAAACCUUUGCCAGCGGCAGCGGUGGCGGUACAUCAUCACAGUCUGUGACGACAAACGUAUUUGAUCCCAGUUCCACCUCAGCGCACACGAACAGCUGAUAAGAGGAAGAACAACCACUGGAAGCUUGCUUCGGGAAUUGGUUGAAGCGAACCAAUAUAGCACCGAAGAUUUGUUCGUACAAGUGAACGGCUUUCAUAGCCGUAGGUGGGCGGCACCACCAGCUGUGGCGUCACCUUCGUGAUCGCAUUCAUUGUCAUUGAUUAAGAGCUAAUUGCAGGAGUAGAGAGAUAAUUGCAGGAGGAGAGAGAUGAGGGAGAAAGAGAGAGGCAAUGGCAGAUUUGAAAAUGAAAAUGAGGCGCGAUUUUCCUUGGGUUUGUUUAUAUAACAGAAGAGAAGAGUGAGGAAAAGCAUGCUGAUCUGUCUAUUUGAAUCUUGAUAUUCAAUUUUUAUUUAAUUCAUGCUUUUCAUACGAGUGUUCGUACGGGAAGUCGGCGCCCAGUACCAUUCGCAAGAUUCAGCGAACGACGCCGUAUUACUAAAGGAACCGAGCGCCGGUUUUGCAGUUUCUAGUACGUUCGCGGCGAGUGCAACAGAGGUGUGCUGAGUGUGCUUAUAGGCACUAGAUGCCCAUCACUGGGGAGUUGUCAAGGCAAAAUAUCAAGGAUCGUUCGUUACUAUGGAGUUAUGAUCUGAUGGCGAAGAAGCUACUUAACAAGGCUGGAGAGAUAAAGAAGAGAUUGAAAAGUUGUCUAAAGACCCAAGAAUAGGAGAAAGGAUUAUCAAGUCCUUUGUGCCAUCAGCCUAUGGCCAUGAGGACAUAAAGACUGCAAUAGCUCUUGCCAUGUUUGGAGGCCAAGAGAAAAAUGUCGAGGGAAAACACCGACUCCGAGGGGAUAUAAAUGUCCUUCUCCUAGGUGAUCCUGGCACGGCAAAAUCACAGUUUAUUAAGUAAAAGCUACUGCCAUCAGUUAAAAGUGAAUCAAUUUUCUGUCUCACAAGGUAUGUUAAAAAGACUGGGCAGAGAGCUGUGUAUACUACUCGUAAAGGAGCAUCUGCUGUGGGACUCACAGCUGCUGUGCACAAGGAUCCUGUUACAAGGGAGUGGAACCUUGAAGGACCAGCUCUUGUUCUUGCUGACAAGGGAAUAUGCCUUAUUGAUGAAUUUGACAAAAUGAAUGAUCAGGAUA
This is a long non-coding RNA of Prunus dulcis (almond), 1373 nucleotides long. RefSeq lists it as uncharacterized. NCBI's taxonomy places the organism in Eukaryota, Viridiplantae, Streptophyta, Magnoliopsida, Rosales, Rosaceae. The record is from RefSeq and is a predicted model, not a curated record. The transcript is spliced from 3 exons.